Molecule: long non-coding RNA, 773 nt
Organism: Gigantopelta aegis
Lineage: Eukaryota; Metazoa; Mollusca; Gastropoda; Neomphalida; Peltospiridae
Exons: 3
Source: RefSeq, a predicted model, not a curated record
UAAUUCGUUCCCUUGAGCACGUGACGUAGAGAGCAAUCCAUGUCAUUUUCAUAGCACGAUGAUUGGUUUCGCUGAAAUUGAUGACUUCUUCAUUUUACUUUUGGAAAUGAUUUUGGAAACUAUGAAGACAGAUUUGAACCUUGGCCCGACUUGGAAACAUUACAAUGGGUGUACCGAUGGGAAAUGAUAUCAUGACUGCUCGCAUCUCAGGCGGAACUUCUAUCAAGCGGUGUCCCAUUUGUUCUGCCAUUAUACUUGAUCGACUUGCUCUGGCGCCAGAUCAGAACACAAGGGACCGUACACCCCCUUUGACAAGGCCGACUACACUACGCUGGGUACGCAAAUACCCGACGUCCGUGUUUGGCGAUACGCCGGUCAGGACAAGCAUGGCCGGUUCGACUUAAUGAAAGACUGACGUGUGAUACGGGGCUAGUGUUCGGGUGUGGGACUCGACGCGCGAUUGAUAGGCAGUCACAGGACCGUGGCAGGGUCUUUCAGCUGCCGAAGCCAACCAGCUAUCCGCUUACCAUUAGCGUCUUGCCCGAUUCAUCCGUAAUUAUCGUGGUUACUGACUCGGUUCAUCGACUUCGUGAACUUCGCAUACACGUGUAAAAGCCUCUUUCACAAAUUAUUAUUUUCUCUUUGGUGAGAGCUAAAUUAAAAAAAUAUUAACGACUCGGCGAACUUUUUUUGUUAUUUUUAUUUUUUGUAGAAAGGGAAAAAUAUAAAAAGGAAACUCUUUGUUAUAAAAUGUUCAUGAAUUCAGAUUUGAC